UAGGCCGCAUCAAGCGCCGGUGCCCGCGAAAGCGGGUGAAACGGGAACGCGGUGGGGGACGCUCGAUCCCAAUUCCGCGGCUGCCCCCGCAACUGUAAGCGGCGAGCCGAAAUCGAAGCCACUGAACGCAUGCGUUCGGGAAGGCGAUGGCGGCGACGACCCGCGAGCCAGGAGACCGGCCGGCGCUGUAACGCGAAC
This 198-nucleotide non-coding RNA is filed under the name Rhodomicrobium vannielii. The record is from RNAcentral. RNAcentral also lists the same sequence under 1 other name. Lineage: Bacteria; Pseudomonadati; Pseudomonadota; Alphaproteobacteria; Hyphomicrobiales; Hyphomicrobiaceae.